CUCGGAGUUUGAUCCUGGCUCAGAUUGAACGCUGGCGGAAUGCUUUACACAUGCAAAUCGAACGGUAGAGGGGGCAACCCCUUGAGAGUGGCGAACGGGUGAGUAAUAUAUCGGAACGUGCCCAGUCGUGGGGGAUAACGUAGUGAAAAUUACGCUAAUACCGCAUACGAUCUAAGGAUGAAAGCGGGGAUCGCAAGACCUCGCGCGAUUGGAGCGGCCGAUAUCAGAUUAGGUAGUUGGUGGGGUAAAGGCUCACCAAGCCAACGAUCUGUAGCUGGUCUGAGAGGACGACCAGCCACACUGGAACUGAGACACGGUCCAGACUCCGUACGGGAGGCAGCAG
RNAcentral lists this ribosomal RNA (343 nucleotides) under uncultured Limnohabitans sp. RNAcentral's name for it is "bacterial SSU rRNA". It matches the Rfam family "Bacterial small subunit ribosomal RNA", at positions 1 to 354 of the family's 1533-position model. Lineage: Bacteria; Pseudomonadati; Pseudomonadota; Betaproteobacteria; Burkholderiales; Comamonadaceae. The record is from RNAcentral.